GAGUUUGAUCGUGGCUCAGGACGAACGCUGGCGGCGUGCUUAACACAUGCAAGUCGAACGGAGCAUUUUGGAAUGAGGUUUCGGCCAAAGGAAGGAAUGCUUAGUGGCGGGACUGGUGAGUAACGCGUGAGGAACCUGGCCUUUCAGUGGGGGACAACAGUUGGAAACGACUGCUAAUACCGCAUGACACAUUUGGGUGGCAUCACUUGAAUGUCAAAGAUUUAUCGCUGAAAG
This 234-nucleotide ribosomal RNA is filed under the name bacterium enrichment culture clone ALO1_GLFRUDD03HE3JA. RNAcentral's name for it is "partial 16S ribosomal RNA". It matches the Rfam family "Bacterial small subunit ribosomal RNA", at positions 9 to 224 of the family's 1533-position model. The record is from RNAcentral.